Dromaius novaehollandiae (emu) is the source of this 669-nucleotide long non-coding RNA. RefSeq lists it as uncharacterized. The transcript has 5 exons. NCBI's taxonomy places the organism in Eukaryota, Metazoa, Chordata, Aves, Casuariiformes, Dromaiidae. The record is from RefSeq and is a predicted model, not a curated record.
CACGUUCACAAUUAAUUGUUCUGGGCAAGUAGUGGGAGGUGACAGAAAGUCAAAUACAUUUGAGGACUCUUCAGGGCUGGUGUUUUGAAGGCUACCAUAUCAAUUGGCACCAUCCAAGAAGGUAGCUGGAGCAUUGCAAAGCCUGUCAUUAGAGCAUUUACCUUUUAAGCAUCUGUCCACCAAUAAGAAAUACUGAAGUAUGUGUCAGAUAUCAAGGUUCCCUACACAAUGCAUGAAUAAGGCACAGAAAAAGGAAUGAUUCCUGAGUUAUGGAGACAGACGAGCUCAUGGCUGGUGCGGGAACUGCCAUAUUUAUACGCUGCCGUCAGGUUGGCUAGGUGGCCCUGGAGGUGUAGGAGUCAGCUGGCGGGGAACUCCAGGUCCAAGGGAAUGAAGGGGAGGGAGGAUCGUCCGAAUCUGCAAACUUAAAGAUAUAGAAGACAUAAGUUGUCCUGGGAAGAGGCUGGAUCACAACCAGAAGCUUCUUUCUUUCCUUGUGUGAAACUUCUGCGAUGACUGGACAUUUUCAUUGGUGGAGCAUGUUCUACGGAUGAGAUAUGCAGCUCAGUGAGCAUGUAAGUGGCAAUCCAGCUUCUGAAGUAUGCAUUCUGUUAAAUAAAGCUUUGCAAAAUUUUAACAGUUAAUGUGUAUACAGUAGUUCAAUCUGGA